This 468-nucleotide ribosomal RNA is filed under the name uncultured bacterium. RNAcentral describes it as "partial 16S ribosomal RNA". It matches the Rfam family "Bacterial small subunit ribosomal RNA", at positions 28 to 507 of the family's 1533-position model. The record is from RNAcentral.
GACGAACGCUGGCGGCGUGCUUAACACAUGCAAGUCGAACGGAAAGGCCCUGCUUUUGUGGGGUGCUCGUGUGGCGAACGGGUGAGUAACACGUGAGUAACCUGCCCUUGACUUUGGGAUAACUUCAGGAAACUGGGGCUAAUACCGGAUAGGAGCUCCUGCUGCAUGGUGGGGGUUGGAAAGUUUCGGCGGUUGGGGAUGGACUCGCGGCUUAUCAGCUUGUUGGUGGGGUAGUGGCUUACCAAGGCUUUGACGGGUAGCCGGCCUGAGAGGGUGACCGGCCACAUUGGGACUGAGGUACGGCCCAGACUCCUACGGGAGGCAGCAGUGGGGAAUAUUGCACAAUGGGCGGAAGCCUGAUGCAGCAACGCCGCGUGCGGGAUGACGGCCUUCGGGUUGUAAACCGCUUUCGCCUGUGACGAAGCGUGAGUGACGGUAAUGGGUAAAGAAGCACCGGCUAACUACGUG